This 515-nucleotide long non-coding RNA is filed under the name Hordeum vulgare. RNAcentral describes it as "long non-coding RNA (HVUL_LNC012557)". The record is from RNAcentral. Lineage: Eukaryota; Viridiplantae; Streptophyta; Magnoliopsida; Poales; Poaceae.
UUUUUCCUUUCCUUUUAUGCACCCUUCUAGUUUGAGACAGUCCUUCAUUUAUUUAUAUAAUGCUUCAUGCACUUUAAUUAAAUAUUUUGAGUAUGUCUUUGUAGAAUGCUCUAUGAACUUCACUUAUAUCUUUUAGAGUAUGAAUAAAUUUCCAUCGAAAUUAGGCUUGCAAGUGUAUCAAUGUCAUGCCUAGCUAGAAAGGCUUUAAAGAAAAACGCUUGUUGGAAGACAACCCAAAACUUUUACUUUAUGUUUUUGGUGUUCACAUGAUUAAGCUACUGUAUUAAUCAUGUUUUAUGCUUUCUAUUUUAAUAAAUUGCCAAGUAAAGCCUUUGGGAUAGUGUGGAUGAUAGUUGAAUUGAUUUUGUGCAAAGAAAGAAACUUUUGCUCUCAGUACAUGAAUUUUGUAAAUUCAUUGGAAUGUGGUUUUUAUAUGAAUCUUUUACACAUGAUUUAUAUACAAAUUUCCUGGUUUGUCCUAAUUUUUUCAGAAUUGUUAGAGACAGAGAAGUAUG